AUCGAAUUGGGUGGCACUAUAGGAGAUAUCGAGUCCAUGCCAUUUAUUGAGGCUCUAGGACAGUUCUCAUAUCGAGUGGGAUCUAGUAACUUUUGCUUGAUUCAUGUUAGCCUUGUACCUGUUUUAAAUGUUGUUGGUGAACAGAAAACCAAACCAACUCAGCAUAGUGUUCGUGGACUGAGAGGUUUAGGAUUGACGCCAAAUAUCUUAGCUUGUCGCAGCACAUUG
Molecule: unclassified non-coding RNA, 228 nt
Filed under: Hevea brasiliensis (rubber tree)
Lineage: Eukaryota; Viridiplantae; Streptophyta; Magnoliopsida; Malpighiales; Euphorbiaceae
Source: RNAcentral